GACGAACGCUGGCGGCGUGCUUAACACAUGCAAGUCGAACGGAAAGGCCCUGCUUUUGUGGGGUGCUCGAGUGGCGAACGGGUGAGUAACACGUGAGUAACCUGCCCUUGACUUUGGGAUAACUUCAGGAAACUGGGGCUAAUACCGGAUAGGAGCUCCUGCUGCAUGGUGGGGGUUGGAAAGUUUCGGCGGUUGGGGAUGGACUCGCGGCUUAUCAGCUUGUUGGUGGGGUAGUGGCUUACCAAGGCUUUGACGGGUAGCCGGCCUGAGAGGGUGACCGGCCACAUUGGAACUGGAAUACGGCCCAGACUCCUACGGGAGGCAGCAGUGGGGAAUAUUGCACAAUGGGCGGAAGCCUGAUGCAGCAAAGCCGCGUGCGGGAUGACGGCCUUCGGGUUGUAAACCGCUUUCGCCUGUGACGAAGCGUGAGUGACGGUAAUGGGUAAAGAAGCACCGGCUAACUACGUG
RNAcentral lists this ribosomal RNA (468 nucleotides) under uncultured bacterium. Its description in RNAcentral is "partial 16S ribosomal RNA". It matches the Rfam family "Bacterial small subunit ribosomal RNA", at positions 28 to 507 of the family's 1533-position model. The record is from RNAcentral.